RNAcentral lists this ribosomal RNA (465 nucleotides) under Vreelandella stevensii. Its description in RNAcentral is "partial 16S ribosomal RNA". It matches the Rfam family "Bacterial small subunit ribosomal RNA", at positions 338 to 795 of the family's 1533-position model. The record is from RNAcentral. Lineage: Bacteria; Pseudomonadati; Pseudomonadota; Gammaproteobacteria; Oceanospirillales; Halomonadaceae.
CCUACGGGUGGCGGCAGUGGGGAAUAUUGGACAAUGGGGGCAACCCUGAUCCAGCCAUGCCGCGUGUGUGAAGAAGGCCCUCGGGUUGUAAAGCACUUUCAGUGAGGAAGAACGCCUGGUGGUUAAUACCCAUCAGGAAAGACAUCACUCACAGAAGAAGCACCGGCUAACUCCGUGCCAGCAGCCGCGGUAAUACGGAGGGUGCGAGCGUUAAUCGGAAUUACUGGGCGUAAAGCGCGCGUAGGUGGCUUGAUAAGCCGGUUGUGAAAGCCCCGGGCUCAACCUGGGAACGGCAUCCGGAACUGUCAAGCUAGAGUGCAGGAGAGGAAGGUAGAAUUCCCGGUGUAGCGGUGAAAUGCGUAGAGAUCGGGAGGAAUACCAGUGGCGAAGGCGGCCUUCUGGACUGACACUGACACUGAGGUGCGAAAGCGUGGGUAGCAAACAGGAUUAGAUACCCCGGUAGUC